AUGAUGCUCAUUCAGUGCUGCAGAUUGGGAGCUGAAAGUUUCAUCAAUAAAUAUGACUCUGAUGGCUUCAUGUCAGCGGUCAAGGUGUCACAGCAUGAGCAAAGAAUUGGGAGUGCGGAGAGGACCUGGAGAUCACCUGAUCUGACCUUUUGUAUGGAGGCGGAAUCAGGAUGCUGGCAUGCCUGCCUGCCUUGUCCUUCACAGGGCUACCUGCACUGGAGGCUGGUUCUCACACUGCUUACACACCUAAAACUGGAAGAAACCUCUAUCUUGAAGAAAACUUUCUGCUUGAAUGAAUUCUGAUUUGUGGAAUGAAGUCUUCCACUGCACUUGAGAGGCUCAGGAUUGAUGGCUCCUGGUAUCUCUCCUUGCCUGGGGAUCACAAAGACUCCUCCUCUCCCCGCAUCCUGGGCAGAAGUGCAGAUGCUUUGUUUCAAUGACAGGCACCUUCCCACCUAAGCUAGAUCCGUUACUGGAUUUGCAGGUUGCUGAAUCCUGAACUCAUGGCAUCAGUUUCAUGUCCAAGUGGCAACUUCCAGUGAUUUCUCCUCCCCAUUUAUGAAUGCACAGAUAAAGGAUGCAGAGCACUAAAGGUUUACAACCUUCUGCCUCUCAUCUGGGACACGUUCAGCUCUGUGUCUGCUCAGGAAAACUGAGACCUAAGAACUUAAUUCAAGAUGUGAUCUCCCAGGCUGAAAGAAGAAAUGUCACCCAGCCUCUCCAUUGUAAUGCCACCUUUGAAGUGCUUCUUCUCUGUUGCUGUUCUUUGAUCAGGAGUGAACAACUGAGUGAAGCAUCAUUUUUAUUCCUAGGCAAUAUGUUUUUAUUUGUCUGAGGGAUUACUCCAGAAUGGCUCUACUUCCUCCAGAGAAAUGACAUUUUAUUUGUUGACCUAAGUGGGAGUGAAU
This 908-nucleotide long non-coding RNA is filed under the name Phasianus colchicus (ring-necked pheasant). RNAcentral describes it as "lncRNA (ENSPCLG00000012458.1)". The record is from RNAcentral. Lineage: Eukaryota; Metazoa; Chordata; Aves; Galliformes; Phasianidae.